ACGAACGCUGGCGGCGUGCUUAACCCCUGCCAGUCGAACGGAAAGGCCCUGCUUUUGUGGGGUGCUCGAGUGGCGAACGGGUGAGUAACACGUGAGUAACCUGCCCUUGACUUUGGGAUAACUUCAGGAAACUGGGGCUAAUACCGGAUAGGAGCUCCUGCUGCAUGGUGGGGGUUGGAAAGUUUCGGCGGUUGGGGAUGGACUCGCGGCUUAUCAGCUUGUUGGUGGGGUAGUGGCUUACCAAGGCUUUGACGGGUAGCCGGCCUGAGAGGGUGACCGGCCACAUUGGGACUGAGAUACGGCCCAGACUCCUACGGGAGGCAGCAGUGGGGAAUAUUGCACAAUGGGCGGAAGCCUGAUGCAGCAACGCCGCGUGCGUGAUGACGGCCUUCGGGUUGUAAACCGCUUUCGCCUGUGACGAAGCGUGAGUGACGGUAAUGGGUAAAGAAGCACCGGCUAACUACGUG
RNAcentral lists this ribosomal RNA (467 nucleotides) under uncultured bacterium. RNAcentral's name for it is "partial 16S ribosomal RNA". It matches the Rfam family "Bacterial small subunit ribosomal RNA", at positions 29 to 507 of the family's 1533-position model. The record is from RNAcentral.